GAAUAUAAUAGGAGACAAAAAAGAGAUGGGAGAGGAAAUAGAGAUGGAAGAGGUAGUGGGAGGAGAUAUAUUAGAGUUGAGCAUCGGCUGAAUUCGGUCAUAAAAUUUUUCAUCUAGAGUAAAUGAUAAAUGGUAUUUCUAACUCAUCUUAAAGGUGUAAAUACGAUUUUAGUUCUUGCAAUUGUGGUGUGUUUUAGUUUUAGUCUUGUUGGCUUUUUUUGUUUGG
Molecule: long non-coding RNA, 226 nt
Filed under: Medicago truncatula (barrel medic)
Lineage: Eukaryota; Viridiplantae; Streptophyta; Magnoliopsida; Fabales; Fabaceae
Description: long non-coding RNA (MTRU_LNC008077)
Source: RNAcentral